Molecule: ribosomal RNA, 467 nt
Filed under: uncultured bacterium
Lineage: Bacteria
Description: partial 16S ribosomal RNA
Rfam family: Bacterial small subunit ribosomal RNA
Source: RNAcentral
ACGAACGCUGGCGGCGUGCUUCACACCUGCAAGUCGAACGGAAAGGCCCUGCUUUUGUGGGGUGCUCGAGUGGCGAACGGGUGAGUAACACGUGAGUAACCUGCCCUUGACUUUGGGAUAACUUCAGGAAACUGGGGCUAAUACCGUAUAGGAGCUCCUGCUGCAUGGUGGGGGUUGGAAAGUUUCGGCGGUUGGGGAUGGACUCGCGGCUUAUCAGCUUGUUGGUGGGGUAGUGGCUUACCAAGGCUUUGACGGGUAGCCGGCCUGAGAGGGUGACCGGCCACAUUGGGACUGAGAUACGGCCCAGACUCCUACGGGAGGCAGCAGUGGGGAAUAUUGCACAAUGGGCGGAAGCCUGAUGCAGCAACGCCGCGUGCGGGAUGACGGCCUUCGGGUUGUAAACCGCUUUCGCCUGUGACGAAGCGUGAGUGACGGUAAUGGGUAAAGAAGCACCGGCUAACUACGUG